ACUCAAAUGAAUUGACGGGGGCCCGCACAAGCGGUGGAGCAUGUGGUUUAAUUCGACGCAACGCGAAGAACCUUACCUGGGUUUGAACUGCAGUGGACAGCCUCGGAAACGAGGUCUCCCUUCGGGGCCGCUGUAGAGGUGCUGCAUGGCUGUCGUCAGCUCGUGUCGUGAGAUGUUGGGUUAAGUCCCGUAACGAGCGCAACCCCUACCCUUAGUUGCCAGCGGGUCAAGCCGGGAACUCUAAGGGAACUGCCGGUGAUAAACCGGAGGAAGGUGGGGAUGACGUCAAGUCCUCAUGGCCUUUAUGUCCAGGGCCACACACGUGCUACAAUGGUCGGUACAAAGGGUUGCCAAACCGUGAGGUGGAGCUAAUCCCAAAAAGCCGAUCUCAGUUCGGAUUGGGGGCUGCAACUCGCCCCCAUGAAGGUGGAAUCGCUAGUAAUCGCGGAUCAGCACGCCGCGGUGAAUACGUUCCCGGGCCUUGUACACACCGCCCGU
Molecule: ribosomal RNA, 498 nt
Filed under: uncultured bacterium
Lineage: Bacteria
Description: partial 16S ribosomal RNA
Rfam family: Bacterial small subunit ribosomal RNA
Source: RNAcentral